This 253-nucleotide ribosomal RNA is filed under the name uncultured bacterium. RNAcentral's name for it is "partial 16S ribosomal RNA". It matches the Rfam family "Bacterial small subunit ribosomal RNA", at positions 524 to 776 of the family's 1533-position model. The record is from RNAcentral.
UACGUAGGAUCCAAGCGUUAAUCGGAAUUAUUGGGCGUAAAGAAUUUGUAGGCUGUUGUGUAAGUUGAUUGUGAAAGCCCCGGGCUUAACCUGGGAACGGCACUCAAGACUACACGGCUAGAGUAUAUAAGAGGAGUGUGGAAUUUCUAGUGUAGCAGUGAAAUGCGUAGAUAUUAGAAGGAACACCAGUGGCGAAGGCGACACUCUGGGAUAAUACUGACGCUGAGAAAUGAAAGCGUGGGGAGCAAACAGG